CGGGGAAGUCCUGCUGCCAGGACUGGCCGCUCCUCCUGCACUAAACGCUCCGCACCUCCGCCAAACUCACUCCCCUCUUCAAAGCCCUGUAAUAAUGAUAAGCAGCUCCUUAAUGAGGAGGGAGACACCAGGACCUUCUUUCUCAUUCAGAGUGGCCCCGGGCGAAACGAGAGAACUCAACACAGCAGAGAAGUUCCUGAUGGAUGUGGACCAUCCCCCUCCUGCCCCAACACCCCAGCACAUUUUCUACGAGUGUUUCAUGCCCCUCGCAAGCUGAGCUGUUCCAACUGAUUCAUGAAAAAUACAAGCUACAUUAACACUAUGAAGCCUUCUUACCAGAGCAUAAAAAGUUGGAGUUAAAAACAUUGUGUUAAUUGGUUAACUUAAUGGUGUCAAAUGCCAUGAUGUUUUUUCUCUUAAAUAAUUUGAAUCAUUAAAACGCCGAUAUCCUUUUAAUGGCUCUCUUUCAUUCUAGAACAUCUGAUAUCUGUUUCAGACCAAUUCAUCCAGUUUGUGAAAUCGCAACUGCAGUUUAGUCUUAGGUUUCAGGUUUGUUUAUAGAGUACAGAUACAGUAGCCAACUGACAAUAGACAUUUUACUUAUCGCAGGACUUCUUUCUCUUAACAGUAACAGUGGAGGAGUCAGAAUAGAUGAGUUUCAGUUACCAAAACACAUGUUUUUAAAUGUCAAAUUAGUAAAUAGCCAGAUUGUUUUGUAUUUAAGAAAGAAACGCUAAUCACGCGUUUUAUGAGCAAGGCCUGUCCUCUUUUUGGACCGUUUCCUCCCUCUGACAAGUUAACUCUCGCAAAUCCCACAGGAAAAAAAGGGUUGUGUCUAUGUAAAGACAAUUAAGCCUGACUCCCUCUGAUUACAUCCCUUGGCUUUCCAGCUAAAUCAAUGUGUGAUUGCAGUGUUCAGUCAGCCUUGCUUUAAAAAAAAAAAAAACGCCCAAAAAAACCCCUUAGCUGCAGACAAACAAAAACAACAGCUACAAAUGCAGAGGUGUGACCUCCUCUCUCUCCAACACUGUCCUCCCGCUCAUGGAGACAUUGAUUUCCCAUUCCUCCGUAACACUUUAAGUAUUGAUAAUAUCUAAGGGGAAGAAAGCCGCAGAACAGCCAGCACGGUGGAAAGGCAAAACAUUGGCUUUGCCAAGAAGAACUUGAGUCCCCAUUUUCCCUGAGAACUGCCCUUUCCUUAUGGCAACCUGAAAACCUUUGGCAGUGGGACCAGCUAUUCAUUUAACAGAUCACUGAGUGAGCUAUUUAUGGUUUGGGACUCUUGAUUUGCAAUACAUCAUCAUCUCAUAGCUCAGUUUAAUCUUUUGAUUUCCUUCCAGCUGAAGGGGCUGAGUAGUUGUACAUACCUCUCGUCAAACUAGAAGGUUAGCUAUGCGCGUACCCAUAAGUAAUCUAAGACACCACUGGGCAAAUUCAACGGGAGUUGCUGUGAAACUUUGGAAGUCUGCGGAGUAGUGCCGUGGUAGCGGUAGAAGUAAUCCAAGUAGAAUUAGUUGUACUCGUUGAUAGGAACGCGGCAGUUAUACCAAGAAAACAUUGCCUAUUUCUCCGGUCUAGGCUCUCAAUCCCUUAGCAGUUAGAAAUAACAAUUCUGAGCAUACUGGAGGAGUAAAUAUUCCUGGCCACCAUUGAGAGUGGAGCCGGAGCAAUGGAGAGCACCGCCUGAGAAACUCAAAUGGCACAAAGUGUUCAUGGUGGCUUUUUCAGUGUUCUCUAAAUGCAGAGCAAAUAUCAUCCCAUUCUUUAGAAAUCAUCAUUUCAAAAUGGUUGCAGAUUUUUCAUU
This 1804-nucleotide long non-coding RNA is filed under the name Ornithorhynchus anatinus (platypus). Its description in RNAcentral is "lncRNA (ENSOANG00000036183.1)". The record is from RNAcentral. Lineage: Eukaryota; Metazoa; Chordata; Mammalia; Monotremata; Ornithorhynchidae.